GAUGAAGAACGCAGCGAAAUGCGAUAAGUAACGUGAAUUGCAGAAUUCAGUGAAUCAUCGAAUCUUUGAACGCACAUUGCGCCCGCUAGUAUUCUGGCGGGCAUGCCUGUCCGAGCGUCAUUUCAACCCUCAAGCCCCCGGGCUUGGUGUUGGGGAUCGGCGAGCCUCCGCGCCCGCCGUCCCCUAAAUCUAGUGGCGGUCUCGCUGUAGCUUCCUCUGCGUAGUAGCACACCUCGCACUGGGAAACAGCGCGGCCACGCCGUUAAACCCCCAACUUCUGAACGUUUGACCUCGGAUCAGGUAGGAAUACCCGCUGAACUUAAGCAUAUCAAUAAGCGGAGGA
RNAcentral lists this unclassified non-coding RNA (343 nucleotides) under soil metagenome. RNAcentral describes it as "partial contains 5.8S ribosomal RNA, internal transcribed spacer 2, and large subunit ribosomal RNA". The stretch from base 1 to 120 matches the Rfam family "5.8S ribosomal RNA", at positions 35 to 154 of the family's 154-position model. The record is from RNAcentral.